GACGAACGCUGGCGGCGUGCUUAACACAUGCAAGUCGAGCGAUGAAACCUAGCUUGCUAGGUCGAUUAGUGGCGAACGGGUGAGUAACACGUGACUAACCUGCCCCUUUCUCUGGGAUAACGCUCCGAAAGGAGUGCUAAUACCGGAUACUCACACCGAGGCACAUGCCUUGGUGUGGAAAGUUUUUCGGAAAGGGAUGGAGUCGCGGCCUAUCAGCUUGUUGGUGAGGUAACGGCUCACCAAGGCGGCGACGGGUAGCCGGCCUGAGAGGGCGACCGGCCACACUGGGACUGAGACACGGCCCAGACUCCUACGGGAGGCAGCAGUGGGGAAUAUUGCACAAUGGGCGCAAGCCUGAUGCAGCGACGCCGCGUGAGGGAUGAAGGUCUUCGGAUUGUAAACCUCUUUCAGUAGGGACGAAGCGAAAGUGACGGUACCUAAAGAAGAAGCACCGGCUAACUACGUGCCAGCCGCCGCGGUAA
RNAcentral lists this ribosomal RNA (482 nucleotides) under uncultured bacterium. RNAcentral describes it as "partial 16S ribosomal RNA". It matches the Rfam family "Bacterial small subunit ribosomal RNA", at positions 28 to 523 of the family's 1533-position model. The record is from RNAcentral.